RNAcentral lists this long non-coding RNA (1243 nucleotides) under Equus asinus (donkey). RNAcentral describes it as "lncRNA (ENSEASG00005024040.1)". Lineage: Eukaryota; Metazoa; Chordata; Mammalia; Perissodactyla; Equidae. The record is from RNAcentral.
GGAAGUGCCUGUGUGUGAUGUGUGUUAAGUGUUGGGUUUGGUAACAGGUUGAGGAAGAACUAGAAAUUUGCAACUUCUGUAAAGUCUUUUGUUCCCUAUUAAAAACCCUCUGUGCAUAUCAAAUGAGAUUAAUCCAUGAAUUCAUGGAAUAAACACUGAGCUGCUACCAAGUCCUGGGCAAUGUUGUUUGCACUGGAGAUACAAACAGUGAACAAAUGAGCAUCCCUCCUCCUCAGGUCCCCACUGCGAGGAGGAACGUGCAGAGGCCCAGAUGGGAAGGAGGCCUGGGACAGCUGAGGCUCUCUGGGACCUGGACCUCUUUGUUGCUCCUGCUUUGGCCUGAAAAGCUCCCCUGAGCCUUCAGGAAGGGCAUGCAGCCAAAGGCCCAUCGAGAAGGAAUGGUAGCUCCCAGUCAUUGAGGACUUACCUUGUGUUGGAGGCCUUGUGUGUACUUCCCAACACACCUGUAUGGUGUGGACGAUGACUGAUUGACACAGGGGGACAAAGCCUGGCCUGCUUACCUCAAGGGGGGACAACUCUGGACCAUUCACCCCCCGGAGUUCCCCAUGGGAUCAGGCUGAGGUUAGACUCUGCUCAGACUCCAUCCUUGUGGAGCAUCUUCCCCGCCCUGUCCUGCUUCCCUCCUUCCCCUUCUCCUGAGAUCAUUUCCUCAGUAAACAUGUGCUCAAGAAUCCUCGUCUCAGGCUCUGAUUCUAGAGUAUGGGAUGAGGAAUUUAAAGCCGGGUCUAGCUGAUUUCAAAGUUGGCCUGUUGAAACCCCGUGUUGUCCAUAGCUGAGUGGUGAGCUGGCAGGUGUGAACGCAUUCUUGGGGGAAGGGGGUCUUGGCUAAGGAGAGGAGAGAGUCCCAGCCUUUAGGAAGGUCUUGGUGGCUUUAUUACUCCUUCCUUCACUUGCUCCCGCCUUGCUGCUGUCUCAUUCCACAAAACAUGGCAGCAGCAACAAGCUACUCAGUUAGGUACCUCCCCAGGGGCAGGGAGAGGCAAGUUGGCGGCUACACUUGUGGAUGUGGGGACUGUGGGUCUGUAAGUCCCAUCCCCAAGGCUUCUCAGAGCGGAGAGUUAGUUACAUCUUUCAGGAGCAGGAGGCCAGAUGUGCUGCUACAGGAAUGGACUCGAAGUCCUGAGCAGCUCUUUGAGAGAGAGCAUGAGCUAAAACCCGGCAGGGAGGCUGCCUGGUGAGCAGGCUUCAGGCCUAGGCUGUGGUCCGAGGCCCCCAUUCGCAG